Molecule: ribosomal RNA, 441 nt
Filed under: Acanthamoeba genotype T4
Lineage: Eukaryota; Discosea; Longamoebia; Acanthamoebidae
Description: partial 18S ribosomal RNA
Source: RNAcentral
CCGGUGUCACGGGGCUAGCAUCCCCGCGCCCCGGCCGAAACCGAGACGCCAAGGAUGACCGCGCAACCGAUCGGUGGUGUUUUGUAUUCAACGUCUCCUAAUCGCUGGUCGGCAUCGUUUAUGGUUAAGACUACGACGGUAUCUGAUCGUCUUCGAUCCCCUAACUUUCGUUCUUGAUUAAUGAAAACAUCCUUGGCAGAUGCUUUCGCAGAAGUUAAUCUUUCAUAAAUCCAAGAAUUUCACCUCUGACAAUUAAAUAUUAAUGCCCCCAACUAUCCCUAUUAAUCAUUACCCUAGUCCUCGCGCUGCCAAAACCAACUGAAAAUAGGAGGACAGGGUCCUAUUCCAUUAUCCCAUGCUAAUGUAUUCGGUGGCAGAAAAUUGGAUCUGCCUGCUUUGAACACUCUAAUUUUUUCACGGUAAACGAUCUGGGCCAAAAAG